This is a long non-coding RNA of Populus euphratica (Euphrates poplar), 711 nucleotides long. RefSeq lists it as uncharacterized. NCBI's taxonomy places the organism in Eukaryota, Viridiplantae, Streptophyta, Magnoliopsida, Malpighiales, Salicaceae. The record is from RefSeq and is a predicted model, not a curated record. The transcript has 3 exons.
UCUCAACCGCCACUUCUCCUCACAAUCCACCGCAAGCAAAGUGCCAGUCAGAGCUCUUUUCCUGGGCAGAGGCGCCUCUGAUCAACUUGUUGGUGGCAUUGAAUUAAUAAGGCUCUGCCCAUCUCCAGCACUGCCUUACUCUUUCGCUUUCUCUCCAACCACUGGCCACCUUGUUGACAAAGGCAACAAAUAGGGAGUGAUUGUGUUGGGCAUUUCUGUUUCACUCGGCAAUUCUUGCUGAUGGUCUUUUAUGGAUACGGGGCAAAGGGGAUGGAGGCUGUCUUGGCUUUGUACACGAGAAUCCUGCUUUUCUUCCGACUCUAAACCCUUUUUUGGAUUCCGUUCACUCUAUUGCUUAGGGUGGCAUUCGUUCUGUUGCCCUCACUUCCACUGGCCAGAUUUUUGCAUUGGGCCAUGGUGGUUUCGGUGCAUUGGGGCAUGUAACAUAGAGAACUAUUCCCUAGAGUAGUGGAAGGUUCUUGAGAUGGAAAAACACGCCACAUUUCCAUUACUGACAUACAUUCUUCUGCCAUCACUGACUCAGGGGAAGUUUGUACCCGGGGUUGAGAAGAAGGAGAUGGCAGAUUAGGCCUCGGCCCUGGUCGGGGUCCAAAUGAAGGGGGUGGACUUAGUAUACUCUGCAAAGUAAAGGCAUUUCCGGUGUCUGUGGCUGCUGUGUCUUGCCAUGAUUUUUUCAGAAAGGUGUUGUUG